Molecule: transfer RNA, 63 nt
Filed under: Rattus norvegicus (Norway rat)
Lineage: Eukaryota; Metazoa; Chordata; Mammalia; Rodentia; Muridae
Rfam family: tRNA
About the family: Transfer RNA (tRNA) molecules are approximately 80 nucleotides in length. Their secondary structure includes four short double-helical elements and three loops (D, anti-codon, and T loops). Further hydrogen bonds mediate the characteristic L-shaped molecular structure. tRNAs have two regions of fundamental functional importance: the anti-codon, which is responsible for specific mRNA codon recognition, and the 3' end, to which the tRNAs corresponding amino acid is attached (by aminoacyl-tRNA synthetases). tRNAs cope with the degeneracy of the genetic code in two manners: having more than one tRNA (with a specific anti-codon) for a particular amino acid; and 'wobble' base-pairing, i.e. permitting non-standard base-pairing at the 3rd anti-codon position.
Source: Rfam by way of RNAcentral
GGGGAUUAAGCUCAGUGGUAGAGCGCUUGCCUAGCAAGUGCAAGACCCUGGGUUCAGUCCCCA